GACGAACGCUGGCGGCGUGCCUAAUACAUGCAAGUAGAACGCUGAAGAGAGGAGCUUGCUCUUCUUGGAUGAGUUGCGAACGGGUGAGUAACGCGUAGGUAACCUGCCUUGUAGCGGGGGAUAACUAUUGGAAACGAUAGCUAAUACCGCAUAACAAUGGAUGACACAUGUCAUUUAUUUGAAAGGGGCAAUUGCUCCACUACAAGAUGGACCUGCGUUGUAUUAGCUAGUAGGUGAAGUAAUGGCUCACCUAGGCGACGAUACAUAGCCGACCUGGGAGGGGGGUCGGCCACACUGGGACUGAGACACGGCCCCGACUCCUACGGGAGGCAGCAGUAGGGAAUCUUCGGCAAUGGGGGCAACCCUGACCGAGCAACGCCGCGUGAGUGAAGAAGGUUGUCGGAUCGUAAAGCUCUGUUGUAAGUCAAGAACGGGUGUGAGAGUGGAAAGUUCACACUGUGACGGUAGCUUACCAGAAAGGGACGGCUAACUACGUG
RNAcentral lists this ribosomal RNA (497 nucleotides) under uncultured bacterium. RNAcentral describes it as "partial 16S ribosomal RNA". It matches the Rfam family "Bacterial small subunit ribosomal RNA", at positions 28 to 507 of the family's 1533-position model. The record is from RNAcentral.